RNAcentral lists this ribosomal RNA (814 nucleotides) under Bacillus subtilis. RNAcentral describes it as "bacterial SSU rRNA". It matches the Rfam family "Bacterial small subunit ribosomal RNA", at positions 90 to 888 of the family's 1533-position model. The record is from RNAcentral. Lineage: Bacteria; Bacillati; Bacillota; Bacilli; Caryophanales; Bacillaceae.
UGUUAGCGGCGGACGGGUGAGUAACACGUGGGUAACCUGCCUGUAAGACUGGGAUAACUCCGGGAAACCGGGGCUAAUACCGGAUGCUUGUUUGAACCGCAUGGUUCAAACAUAAAAGGUGGCUUCGGCUACCACUUACAGAUGGACCCGCGGCGCAUUAGCUAGUUGGUGAGGUAAUGGCUCACCAAGGCAACGAUGCGUAGCCGACCUGAGAGGGUGAUCGGCCACACUGGGACUGAGACACGGCCCAGACUCCUACGGGAGGCAGCAGUAGGGAAUCUUCCGCAAUGGACGAAAGUCUGACGGAGCAACGCCGCGUGAGUGAUGAAGGUUUUCGGAUCGUAAAGCUCUGUUGUUAGGGAAGAACAAGUACCGUUCGAAUAGGGCGGUACCUUGACGGUACCUAACCAGAAAGCCACGGCUAACUACGUGCCAGCAGCCGCGGUAAUACGUAGGUGGCAAGCGUUGUCCGGAAUUAUUGGGCGUAAAGGGCUCGCAGGCGGUUUCUUAAGUCUGAUGUGAAAGCCCCCGGCUCAACCGGGGAGGGUCAUUGGAAACUGGGGAACUUGAGUGCAGAAGAGGAGAGUGGAAUUCCACGUGUAGCGGUGAAAUGCGUAGAGAUGUGGAGGAACACCAGUGGCGAAGGCGACUCUCUGGUCUGUAACUGACGCUGAGGAGCGAAAGCGUGGGGAGCGAACAGGAUUAGAUACCCUGGUAGUCCACGCCGUAAACGAUGAGUGCUAAGUGUUAGGGGGUUUCCGCCCCUUAGUGCUGCAGCUAACGCAUUAAGCACUCCGCCUGGGGAGUACGGUCG